AGGGCCUUCGACGAGUCGAGUUGUUUGGGAAUGCAGCUCCAAGUGGGUGGUAAAUUUCAUCUAAAGCUAAAUACCGGCGGGAGACCGAUAGCGCACAAGUAGAGUGAUCGAAAGAUGAAAAGCACUUUGAAAAUAGAGUCAAAAAGUACGUGAAAUUGUUGAAAGGGAAGCGCUUGAGACCAGACUCGGACCCGAGCAAACAUCGCGCCCUCCGGGGCCGUGCAAUUGCCCGGUGCCGGGCCAGCAUCAGUUGGCGUGGCGGGACAAAGGCGCGGGGAAUGUGGCUCCCCUCGGGGAGUGUUAUUAGCCCCGUGCUCAUGCCGCCGACGCCGACUGAGGACCGCGCCUCGGCUAGGAUGCUGGCUUAAUGGCCUUCAGCGACCCGUCUUGAAACACGGA
Molecule: ribosomal RNA, 399 nt
Filed under: Helvella dryadophila
Lineage: Eukaryota; Fungi; Ascomycota; Pezizomycetes; Pezizales; Helvellaceae
Description: eukaryotic LSU rRNA
Rfam family: Eukaryotic large subunit ribosomal RNA
Source: RNAcentral